This 284-nucleotide ribosomal RNA is filed under the name Duncaniella sp. RNAcentral describes it as "partial 23S ribosomal RNA". It matches the Rfam family "Bacterial large subunit ribosomal RNA", at positions 2631 to 2925 of the family's 2925-position model. The record is from RNAcentral. Lineage: Bacteria; Pseudomonadati; Bacteroidota; Bacteroidia; Bacteroidales; Muribaculaceae.
UCGGUCUCUAUCUGUUGUGGGCGCAGGAGAUUUGCGAGGCCCCGACACUAGUACGAGAGGACCGUGUUGGACCGACCACCGGUGAGCCGGUUGUACCGCCAGGUGCACUGCCGGGUAGCCGCGUCGGGACAGGAUAAGUGCUGAAAGCAUCUAAGCACGAAGCCCCCCUCAAGAUAAGAUCUCCACACAAGGGCCGUCAGAGACGAUGACGUUGAUAGGUCGCAGGUGUACAUGCAGCAAUGCACUCAGCCGAGCGAUACUAAUCGCCCAACCCCUUUCUUGGG